Myotis davidii is the source of this 634-nucleotide long non-coding RNA. RefSeq lists it as uncharacterized. Lineage: Eukaryota; Metazoa; Chordata; Mammalia; Chiroptera; Vespertilionidae. The record is from RefSeq and is a predicted model, not a curated record. The transcript is spliced from 3 exons.
CUCCAUUGCCUGGGAGCAGGAAGGUGGCGGAGGGGCAAGCAGAAGGCUUAGGGAAGAUAAUCUAUGGAAGCCAGCAGACGACACAUGGAAGCUACCCGGAGGUCUUGUGAAGAAACACCUGCUACAACUACAGAGGAUGAUUGUACUUUGUGUCUAUCCCCCGGUCCAGAUGGGAAUGAGCAGCCAUAUUAAUAUGGCUAGAUGCUGGAAGCGCACGGGAUCUUGGAAGCCAGCAUUGAAGACAGCAAGCCCUCUCCUUCCCCCAUCAACAUGGGUCUCAGAAGGACUGUGCAGAGCAGAGCCCUGCUUCUCCCACCCAAAGCAUCCACAGAAGAUUAAUAUGAGAAAACUGAGACACCAGAUGGUAUAUAACUUCCCGAAGAUUCUGCCGCUAGUAAUUGACAGAAGCAGGAUUGAACCAAGGCAGUUGGGAUCCAGAAUCUACUAUUAUACUCAUCUCAUUAUAGAUGUGUAUGUGUAAAAUAUGUAUAAAUCAUGUAUGUGCUUGUUUAUUGUCUAUCUGUCCCGUUGGGUGUAAGCUCCACAAGGACAGGACAUUGUUUUGUUUACUGUUCCCCACGCUUAGGACAAUGUCUGGUACAAUUAGAUUUUCAAUAAAAAUGUAUUGAAUGAA